UACGUAGGUGGCGAGCGUUGUCCGGAUUUACUGGGCGUAAAGAGCGCGCAGGCGGUCGUACAAGUCGCGUGUGAAAGCCCCCGGCUCAACUGGGGAGGGUCACGCGAUACUGUUCGACUCGAAGGCAGGAGAGGGUAGUGGAAUUCCCGGUGUAGCGGUGAAAUGCGCAGAUAUCGGGAGGAACACCGGUGGCGAAGGCGGUUCUCUGGGCCUGUACUGACGCUGAGGAGCGAAAGCGUGGGGAGCGAACAGG
RNAcentral lists this ribosomal RNA (253 nucleotides) under uncultured bacterium. RNAcentral's name for it is "partial 16S ribosomal RNA". It matches the Rfam family "Bacterial small subunit ribosomal RNA", at positions 524 to 776 of the family's 1533-position model. The record is from RNAcentral.